UGGGGAAUUUUGCGCAAUGGACGAAAGUCUGACGCAGCGACGCCGCGUGAGGGAUGAAGGCCUUCGGGUUGUAAACCUCUUUCGGCAGGGAAGAAGCGAAAGUGACGGUACCUGCAGAAGAAGCACCGGCUAACUACGUGCCAGCAGCCGCGGUAAUACGUAGGGUGCAAGCGUUGUCCGGAUUUAUUGGGCGUAAAGAGCUCGUAGGCGGUUCGUCACGUCGGGUGUGAAAACUCAGGACUCAACCCUGAGCCUGCACUCGAUACGGGCGAACUGGAGGACGGUAGGGGAGACUGGAACUCCUGGUGUAGCGGUGAAAUGCGCAGAUAUCAGGAAGAACACCGGUGGCGAAGGCGGGUCUCUGGGCCGUUCCUGACGCUGAGGAGCGAAAGCGUGGGGA
RNAcentral lists this ribosomal RNA (400 nucleotides) under uncultured bacterium. RNAcentral's name for it is "bacterial SSU rRNA". It matches the Rfam family "Bacterial small subunit ribosomal RNA", at positions 355 to 767 of the family's 1533-position model. The record is from RNAcentral.